This 305-nucleotide unclassified non-coding RNA is filed under the name uncultured fungus. RNAcentral describes it as "sequence contains ITS2". The record is from RNAcentral. Lineage: Eukaryota; Fungi.
AACGCAUAUUGCACUCUUUGGUAUUCCGAAGAGUAUGCCUGUUUCAGUAUCAUGAAAUCCUCACAAAGCCAAAUUUUUUUUUGGCUUAUAGUGGACUUGAGCAUUUGCGGCUUUUUUUAGCUGCUGGCUUGAAAUGAAUUUCUUGAACAGCAAUAAAACUUGGGCUUUCGAAUCUUGGCUUAAUAGUUUUGACUGUGGUCAAAUCUUUAGCUAUCUUCAAAGCCAAAAUGCUGUCGAGAUGUUUUUACGAACAUCUUUUCUCAAUUUUUGAUCUGAAAUCAGGUAGGAUUACCCGCUGAACUUAA